UACGGGGGGAGCAAGCGUUGUUCGGAUUUACUGGGCGUAAAGGGCGCGUAGGCGGUCGUGACAAGUCACUUGUGAAAUCUCCGGGCUUAACUCGGAACGGUCAAGUGAUACUGUCGGACUAGAGUACAGAAGGGGCAACUGGAAUUCUCGGUGUAGCGGUGAAAUGCGUAGAUAUCGUAAGGAAGACCAGUGGCGAAGGCGGGUCUCUGGACAGUUCCUGACGCUGAGGCACGAAGGCCAGGGGAGCAAACGGG
Molecule: ribosomal RNA, 254 nt
Filed under: uncultured bacterium
Lineage: Bacteria
Description: partial 16S ribosomal RNA
Rfam family: Bacterial small subunit ribosomal RNA
Source: RNAcentral